GCAGUUCUGUUGUGGUUCUGCUGGUACCUCAUCCAGGAUCCGGUUCUUGGCUCUGGUGAUGGCCAUGUUCAGGAUGUUGAUCCAGGAGUCCUUCUCCUCCGGGCUGACGGCCAGGAACACCUGGUUGGGCACCUGCAGCAAAGGAGGCACACCUGUCCAGCUAAAGCUGCUCCACUCGGUUUGGCCCCGCCCACCUGAAUGAUGUCAUAAUGGACGCAGCGCUGUACAGGUGACUUACUGCUAAUGCUAACUGCUAAUGCAACCAGCGCUGCACAAUAAAUGAUUCAGGUGUGUGACCUGUCUCCAGGUGUGUGACGUGUCUCCAGGUGUGUGACCUGUCUCCAGGUGUGUGACGUGUCUCCAGGUGUGUGACCUGUCUCCAGGUGUGUGACGUGUCUCCAGGUGUGUGACCUGUCUCCAGGUGUGUGACCUGUCUCCAGCGUUCGUAGUCGGACAGGUCCAGAACUUCGUCGGCCCGACCCAGUUCCUUCACCUGGACACACACAGGAAGUACCGGUAACUGACUGAGGAGGCGGAGCCUGGAGGAUUGAUGUGGAAAAAUUACAGUUAGGUUUCACCUGCUAGUUGUAUUGCGAUAUGUUUAUUCUAAGUUCUGUAUAUUCCCACCAAGUUAAAGCUGUUUGGGUUUCAUGCACAAGGUUGGACCUUGUUUUUCCAGCUGCAUGGGAACCAGUCUGAUUCCCAGGCUUUGGGUCCCUUAUCCCUUUGUACAAAACUCAUGUGUUGUCUCUGCCUGGCAGAGCUUUCUGUUUCAGACUUGCUUCAUUAUUGAUUGUCCUGUGAGCUCUC
Xiphophorus hellerii (green swordtail) is the source of this 810-nucleotide long non-coding RNA. RefSeq lists it as uncharacterized. The transcript is spliced from 3 exons. The record is from RefSeq and is a predicted model, not a curated record. Lineage: Eukaryota; Metazoa; Chordata; Actinopteri; Cyprinodontiformes; Poeciliidae.